AGAGUUUGAUCAUGGCUCAGGACGAACGUUGGCGGCGUGCUUAACACAUGCAAGUCUGCGAGAAAGUUAUAGCAAUAUAGCGAGUAAAGCGGCGAAAGGGUGCGUAACGCGUAAGCAACUUGCCCAUAGGAUGGGGAUAACGUCGAGAAAUCGGCGCUAAUACCCAAUAAUGCAGCGGCAUCGCAUGAUGAUGUUGUUAAAGGUCGCUUCGGUGGCGCCUAUGGAUGGGCUUGCGUCUGAUUAGUUAGUUGGCGAGGUAACGGCUCACCAAGACGACGAUCAGUAGCUGGUCUGAGAGGAUGAUCAGCCACACUGGAACUGAGACACGGUCCAGACUCCUACGGGAGGCAGCAGUGAGGAAUAUUGGGCAAUGCCCGCAAGGGUGACCCAGCAACGCCGCGUGGAGGAUGACAGCCGUAAGGUUGUAAACUCCUGUUCGGGGGGACGAAUAACCGUCGUUUGCAAAGGCGACGGCUUGACGGUACCCUCAGAGAAAGCCCCGGCUAACUACGUGCCAGCAGCCGCGGUAAUACGUAGGGGGCAAACGUUGUCCGGAUUUACUGGGUGUAAAGGGCGCGCAGGCUGGUCGGUCAGUCAGAGGUGAAAGCCCACAGCUUAANCUGUGGAACUGCCUUUGAUACUGCCGAUUCUGAGUGCGA
Molecule: ribosomal RNA, 659 nt
Filed under: uncultured bacterium
Lineage: Bacteria
Description: bacterial SSU rRNA
Rfam family: Bacterial small subunit ribosomal RNA
Source: RNAcentral